RNAcentral lists this ribosomal RNA (428 nucleotides) under uncultured bacterium. RNAcentral describes it as "bacterial SSU rRNA". It matches the Rfam family "Bacterial small subunit ribosomal RNA", at positions 355 to 775 of the family's 1533-position model. The record is from RNAcentral.
UCGAGAAUUUUUCGCAAUGGGGGCAACCCUGACGGAGCGACGCCGCGUGGAGGAUGAAGGUCUUCGGAUUGUAAACUCCUGUCAUUGGUGAACAAGGUAUUCGCGUUAACUACGCGGGUGCUUGCUAGUAGCCGAAGAGGAAGGGACGGCUAACUCUGUGCCAGCAGCCGCGGUAAUACAGAGGUCCCGAGCGUUGUUCGGAUUCAUUGGGCGUAAAGGGUGCGUAGGCGGUUUGCCAAGUUUGAUGUGAAAUCCCGGGGCUCAACCCUGGAAUGGCAUUGAAUACUGGCGAACUAGAGAUCUGGAGAGGAAACUGGAAUUUACGGUGUAGCAGUGAAAUGCGUAGAGAUCGUAAGGAAGACCAGUGGCGAAGGCGAGUUUCUGGACAGAUACUGACGCUGAGGCACGAAGGCCAGGGGAGCAAACGG